Molecule: long non-coding RNA, 1180 nt
Organism: Capsicum annuum
Lineage: Eukaryota; Viridiplantae; Streptophyta; Magnoliopsida; Solanales; Solanaceae
Exons: 2
Source: RefSeq, a predicted model, not a curated record
UCAAAAAAAUCAAACAAACCAAAAUUGAUGUGCAUUAAAUGCUCCUCACGGGCAACAGAGGCGCAUAACAUCACCCAAAAAGAGACCAUCGUGUAGUCCAAUGAGCGCCUAAAACCAGGAAGCCAUUGCCUUUUUUUUUUCUCUCUCUCUUCUCCUCCUUCCCCAGAACCCAAAACAAGAAGGCCUAGGUGCUUAGAUCCACCAUAGCCUGCAAAGUUUCACCAACUCCCUGCGCAACCCAUCUCCUACGCUCCGAAAGUCCGCGCAACAGAGAGAGUCAGCACGAUUUUGGGGAUAGGGGUGCAUUUUUUCAAAUUCAUCUGAAUUUUGCUUUUCUUCUUCACUUUUGAUUUCAAAUCCAGACGUUCAAGUCCGGAUUUGACCUAUAAAUAGGGUGUUCUUCAACCCUAGAAAAGAGGGGAUUUUGAGGGAAGAAAAGCAAAAAUUAGUGGAGGGAGGGGGGGGGGGGGUGAUCUAGAAAAAGAGCAAAAAUUCUCGUGAGAAGAGUAAGGGUUCAUGGAAAAAUAGAGAAAACGAGUGAAAGAAAAAGGGAACAGAGAACGGGGGUCUCAAAAAUUGGUAGCUUUCUUUUCUGAUUUCGGGCCUAAUGCAGUUCGAGUUAAUCGCCGGAAAAUACUUAACGUGAAACCCUUGUUUGCUGCACCCAAAAAGGUUUACAAGUGAUGAAAAGAAAAGAAGCAAACUUGAGUUAAAAAGGAUCAAAAAGGGAGUUGAAGUGCAAGAGCUGGACAAACUGAAGCAGGAUCAAGAUCUAGCUCACAUUUAUAGCGAUCGCGGGCAUUAGCCCACAAUCGUAGCGAGUCAAGCUAGUCAACCAACUGCGAUUGCGAUGGACUAACCGCAAUCACAGUUGGUGUGAUCACGAUUAACCUGUUGCGAUCACGUGAGAGCAAAAAAUGGCCCAAGGACAUAAAUAUAAUUUUGGCCAGCUGACCCCAAAUUCCCAUUUAAAGGUUCAAAACCCUCAUUUAUCUCAUCAUCCAUCAUUCCAUCACCUAUCUCCUAUUCUUAGUUUAUGGUUUUUGUAAUUUCUUGGAGCUUAGAGCAAUAUUUGUACUAAUUUUGGGCUAACAAGAUAUUAGAGUGACUUUUAAGUGUAGAUUUGGCUUCACCCAUUGAAGAUUUAUUGGAUUCUAAAGUGUGGUUUACCCUCUUUUUA